Molecule: long non-coding RNA, 5960 nt
Organism: Setaria italica (foxtail millet)
Lineage: Eukaryota; Viridiplantae; Streptophyta; Magnoliopsida; Poales; Poaceae
Exons: 5
Source: RefSeq, a predicted model, not a curated record
UCCGGGGGAGUAAAGUGAGCCUAAAUUUUGCUUAGGGGGUUAAGUGGACAAAGUAAAAAAGUGAGGGGAGUAAAAUAGGCUUUUUCCUUUUCCUUGAUGAAUUUUGCAUUUGAAAACUGAUGGGACAAACUUUUAUGUGCUGAUAUUUAUUCAAGUUGAUGCAAAACAUAAACAGUAGAGUGUAGAGAAAGUGUUUUUAAGGUUGCCUUUGCUAUUGAUCACAUGUUUUUGGUUCUACUUUGAUUUUUAGUGAUCAGGAGCAUUGUUAUUAAGGUGAUAAUUCAAGAAAUCUCACAACAGUCAUACUGUCUAAUAACAUAUUAUGUAAACAGUAAUAAAAUCUGGAGUAUCACACGUUAUAUGUAAACUCUGCUAAAAAAGGCAGCUAUGAUCUAUGAUGGUCAAGUAGAUCAUUUAAAUCCUUCAGUUAUGGAUGGCCAGACAUACUUUCUCAUUGCUGUAUGCAUAUCCAACAUGAUGUAGAGAAAGCUAGUAAUAGUAAAUACUUCUGCAUAUUGUCUCACUUGUCAUUGUUUCUGAACACCAAAAAUGAGGCUUUGCGGUUUAUUGCAGAUAAUAACAUUCAUGUUAAGUGAUUCAACUUAUACUAUUGUCUUAGUUUGUUUACAGCAAAAAAUGCCUUGCGUACCACACACCACCACAUAUCUUAGCUGCCAUAGGGAUGACUAUGUAUGCAAAGUUGCUAGGCCUUGUGGGUAGUUAUGACAAAUUGACAACAGAAGAAUCCCAUUAGAAUACAUAGUAUUCUGGUGGAUGUCAGUGACGUAUCAGUAGUAGCUUAGUUGUUUAAUAUAUUCGUUCUGAGUUACUCUACAUCUGAAUUGAUUAUAGAUUUUCAUGUUUCUUGCUGCCCUUUUUCUUGUGAUUCCUUGUUGAGUUGUAUAGUGUUGUUUGGAAUAGUUUACUGCAUGCAAGGUAAACCUAGGCUUCAUGGAUGACAUAUUAUUCCAAUGGAUGACAUGUGUGAAAUUAGCUUAGUUAUUGUAUUAUAUCAAUUCAGAUUCAGAGUAGUUGGAUACUUAUGCUCGGAACGCUAACCCUUCGGAGUUCAGUAGCUAUUAUAGCUGAAAGGUCAUUAUGGAUGAAUUGUUGCAUGUGACUUUUCAAUUCCCAAGAAGCAUUUAGCAAAUGUUCAAAUGUGUUAAACAAACUAUAUCUUUUACUCCUGUUAGACAACUCAAAAUUAGGCAUAUUAGUUACCAGAUGGCAUGGCGACUUGGCUCUCUCCAUUAGUCCUUCGCACCUAGAACUAAUCAUGUAUUUUCUCUGCUUCUUUCUCCUGUGAAAUUUAACGCGUCUGGAAACGCACAAGGUAUAAUUUUUCUUUUGGUGCAUAUGUAAGAUAGUCAAAUGCUACUCUGUUUUAGAAUUUACCUUAGUAUCCGUAUGUGAAGACAACAUGAAGAUAUACCAACUUCACCUUGCAUUGUUUGCGUAGCGUAUUUAAAUUGUGUGAGUGUUAGGGACUUGGAGGACCCGGCUCGGCCCUUAGGGGUGGUCCAGAGGCACGCCAGCGCAGCCGUCGGCCUCCUGGGCGAGUCGGAAGAGGAGGCGCCGUAGAGGGGCGCCGCACAUGGCAGCCGCUGGCCCCACCGGCAAUAUCCCCUUUUGGAGUCUUUGAAUAAUAGGAAAGGUUAAAGAGUCUAGAGACAAUUAGAGAGUUUGUUUAGGAAAGGAUGGAUCCAAUCUAUAAGGAAUCCAAUCCUAGUUAUCUUAGGACUCAAGUCAUAGGUCCCUAUAUAAUUGAGGGAGUUGUACUCAUUGGAAAUCAAGAAGGAAGAGAAUUCUCUCAACCCUCCUGCCUUCCUUUCUCCCUGCGCCAACCGCCCCUCCCCCCUGCGCCGUCCCUCUCGCCCUCCUGCGCCGCCCUAGCCACCCCCUCCUCUAAGAUCCUAACACAUGGUAUUCAUAGACCAGGAACUAGCCCACCAUGUCCACCUCCAAGCCUGCCACCAUGGAUGACCUCAGCAAGCAGAUGGUUGAGAUGCACCUCCAUCAACAAGCUGCUUGCCACCAUGAAGGUGGUGGACGGGCGCCUGACGUCCCUGGAGAAGAAGCCCGCCGCGUCGACCACAAGCAGACCCUGAAGGCAAGGAGGCGGCAGAUGCCAAGGCCAAGGCACCUGCUGAACUGCAAGAGCAGUCGUUGGCCGACCUGGCCAGGUGCGCGCAGUAGCCUUCGCUGAGCGCAAGUUCCUCUUCGACAAGGUGAGGGAAGUAGGAUCAUCCUACAGCGAUGAUGCGACAUCGUCGACAAGGUGGUGAAGGAUCUGUUCCCCACCCCGAUAGAUGGAUCUCAGCCGGAGCAACCGACAGACGUGCCACCGAACUUCUACUCCAUGUUGGUGCCUCGCUACCACAAGAUGAACUUCCCGAGCUAUGACGGGGAGGACGACCUGCUGCAGUGGCUCAACAGAUGCGAGCACUUGUUCACCAGGCAAUGGACGCCAGAUCAUGAGAAGGUCUGGUAUGCAUCGUUCCACCUCACAGGCGCCACUCAACUGUGGUACAUGCGUCUCUCCCAGGAGAGCCCAAUCACAGAUUGGAGCGAGAUUGGAGCAAAUUCGGCCCCCCCUCCAGACGCUACCUGCUAGGCGAGUUGGUCGCCUUGCGGCGGACCGGCACUGCGCACAUUCCUCGCGCACGUGGCGCGCGCGGGACCCCUAGGCAAGGAGCAGCAGGUCAACAUCUACACCGCUAGGCUAGGCAAGCCCCUCCGCACCAAUGUCGAGCUGUAGGACCGGCGGGACAUGGAGCAGGCCAUGGCACUCGCUCGGGCCUAUGAGCGGCGCCGGUGUUAGAACCACCCAAGACGAUGACGACGGCAUCAUCAGCAUGCGCCCCCCUCGCGCACAACUACGACCAAGCCAAAGAGCAUGACUACACCAGCAGCAGGCACGACAACGACGGCAGCUACUACGGGGGCUCGCUCCUUCAAGCGCCUCACAUUUGACGAGAUGGCAAAGAGGAAGUGCUUAGGCCUUUGCUUUAACUGCGACGAGCAAUUCAGCAGAGGGCACAAGUGCAAGCAGCUGUUCGAGAUCACCAUCGUCAACGACUUCGAUGAUGACGACGAGCCAUCACUGAUGGUGAUCACGGCUGGCCCCAACGGAGGUCUCCAGGGCUGGUGCACCAUGCGCCUGGUGGGCGCUGUAUUCGGGGAGGGCGCACGUGUCGUCAUCGACACGGGCGCCACACACAACGUCGUCGACUUUAGCUUCGCCCGUCACGUAUAAGUCUCGGAGAGGCGCAUCAACGUCGGCAUCACCAUCGGCGAUGGCUCCAGGGUGCGCAGCCGUGGCCUAUGCCGUGGGGUACCCAUCCGAUUGGACCGCGAGGUCUUUGCCCUCAACGCCUACAUCUCCACCCUCGACGGCGAGACAGACGUCAUCCUUGGUACCCCGUGGCUCGCGUCGUUAGGUCCUAUCACUUGGGAUUUCAGGACGCUAACCAUGAGCUUCAGGCGAGGCGACCGCAUCGUCCAGUUCGUGGGAGUCUUACCAACACCAGCUACUCUACUACCAGCCCCGCUAGUCCAGGCGGCCCUGCCAGCUCCAUCGGCAGCAGCACUAGCAUCAUCAUCGACUGCACCACCAGCCCCACAGGCGUACAGCUCCAGAACGGCGCCAUCGACCCCGACUUGCGCCAACAUUGAGGGGUUAAGGAGUGGGAACGCGUGCGAUGUGAUCUCUCCAUCUUUACGACAUCCGGAGGGCAGUUCAAGAUGAGCCUGAAUUGGCCGCCGUGAGGCGGGGAAUCACGUCACGCCAGGCAACUCGCACCUAGACCAUCGACGACAGCGUCAUCUUCUUCGCCGGGCGCGUCUACCUGCCAGCCUUGUCACCCCUGCUGUUGACACUCAUCCGCUCACGUCUCGCAGUCGGCGGCCACACGAUGACGAGUAUGGCGACAGCUCGCUCUUUCCCAGCCAUGGUGAUCCUGACACAGGAGUGGCCACGAGCGUCCCUGGUACAACUCGACGUUCUCUUUUUGGACCAGCUAGAUGUGAGUUCCUCGUUGCAGGCCGCAACUUCUUCCGCGUCAACACCGAGAUGGGUGUGCCAGAUAUCUCGCCGCUACCUCGGGACGCCUCAGCUGUACUGUUCAGGGAGGUAUGGGACCUCACAGCGCCAGGUGCACGGCCCCGUACAUCCUUCGUCUACAGGGUGCCGGGUGUCCUCCUGAGAGGGGCUAGUGGGCUACAGCCACGCAUCUUCAAUUGGCUUCCUCCACCGACGACACUGGCAGUCGACAUGGGGGUAACGCGAUAGGCCAUAGCUGCGCCAGGGCCCAACAGCAACCGUGGGAGGCAACGCCACCUGCUGGCCACCCACGACUUCAUCCUUCAUGGCUACAUCGGCGACCUGCGCUACUAUCUCCACUUCCACGUCGUCAGGACACUACGCAACAUCACCACCAUCUUGCUCGUGGGGCCGCCGCCCUAGCCGCCCCCCUCCUCUAAGAUCCUAACAAUGAGGUCAGCCUGCUAGCCCACUAGGUCCGCCGUGCAAAACUGUCUUUGCGGGUACCUGCAGAGACACGUUUUGCAAGUGGGCUUGAAAUGUGCAGCCUGCAAAGUCUUGCAGGAUUUUGUAGCCAGCCUGUGAGAUCCUGCAAUGUGCCUGCCACACCUGCAAGGUGGGGCGGCAUUCGCUCGGCAUUAUGCUGUGUGGUGACGGUGCGCUGCAUCCGUAUCGGCAUUACACUGUGGGAGUGCAGCUGGUGCCAUGCCACUGCCGUCGCUGCCGGCGGCCCUCCGGCGAGUGUCACGUGCUGCCCCACCUAUUCGUUCGGCUCCUCCGCUUGCACGACAGCACCCACUGCUACCCCACCAGCUCCUCUGCCUCUCGUUUCCGCUUGUACGAUGGCACAAUCCUCUCGUGUCCCGUCGCCGCUGUGAAAGACAAGCUCUGUGAGAGGGAGUUGGGGAGAAGACCUACAUCAAUUGGGGCAGGAGCAUCAGAUUUUUAAGGUACCAUGGCAACAGUGCCAUCCAAUGUCAACCACAGGAAGUUGGGGGCUCCUCAGGUUGCUCACCUUCGAUCAGCUCUCCAUGAACAAAGCGCAUUGGCUUUCCUGCAUCCACUGUAGCGUUCGAGUCUGCAUUCAGUACAGGUGGACGAAUCAUCAGUGACCAUAGGACUAGGCUUUCGGGCAACACAGUACAUCUUACAUGGGACAUCAUGAAUAUUAACAGCUCGGGUAGCAGCAUUUUAGAACUUGGAGGUGCAUGAUCACCUGAAGGACAAGGUGCGUCGUUCGUCGGGGGCGGCCGGCGUAGAUUGUAGCCGAAGGAGGUGUGAGGGCGAGGGGAGAAGAGCCGCCGUCGACCCGUGGUUGCCGGCGACUUUGCUGCUGGCCGAUCUGCAGGGAGGAGUUGGAGGUGGUCCAGUGUGAAGGCACAGGGAGAGGUGGAGAGGCAGGGGCAGGGUAGGGUUUAACCUUUCCCUUGCUGAUCCAAAAUAGAUUACACCCUUUUAGUUUUAUAGUGACUCCCCUCUUAACUCCCAAGCAAUCUAAGGAUGGAAUCCUUCCAUCUUACAACUCAAUCUCUAAUUAUUACCUAACUUAAACAAAAGGACUUUCUAAUACUUGAAUAGACUAAAGAUAGAAGGGAGGGGGCUGUUGGGCGCCUAGACUCCCUAGUAUGGUGCGGCCAGGGCUGCAGGUGUCCCUGCACGCCUGCCUACUGCUGUUGGGCCUCCCUGGCCCAUGGCGCCAGGGCCGUGGCUGCCCAUGCACAUGACAUGCUGGCUUUAGUGUUUGCCUGUUUGGAGUUUUAGGGCUUAGGUUCUAAGGUAGGGGUGUCGGACAACUGGAAUUCAGUACAACUAUAGGGUACGUGGCUACUUGUCAAGUGAUAGUCUUGUGCUGUGAAUAUAAUCCUGAAACUAAAACUUAUGUGCUUGCCCUUGUUGAUGCAAGGUAGCUUUGCAGGAA